RNAcentral lists this ribosomal RNA (229 nucleotides) under uncultured bacterium. Its description in RNAcentral is "partial 16S ribosomal RNA". It matches the Rfam family "Bacterial small subunit ribosomal RNA", at positions 104 to 334 of the family's 1533-position model. The record is from RNAcentral.
CGGGGUGAGUAAUGUCUGGGAAACUGCCUGAUGGAGGGGGAUAACUACUGGAAACGGUAGCUAAUACCGCAUAACGUCGCAAGACCAAAGAGGGGGACCUUCGGGCCUCUUGCCAUCAGAUGUGCCCAGAUGGGAUUAGCUAGUAGGUGGGGUAACGGCUCACCUAGGCGACGAUCCCUAGCUGGUCUGAGAGGAUGACCAGCCACACUGGAACUGAGACACGGUCCAG